UUUGUCUACUUUGAAAAGAUGGGAGAAGACCAAAGGCAAUUGUUGAUUGAUGUCUACAUACAUAGACCUUGUUAGGUGAAAUUAUUUUAUCUUAUGUCUAUGUCUAGAAUUUUAUUUUUUUUUAUUUUGUAAACUGUGAGUCCAUUUCAUUUUUACAAAAAUGGUACUGAUGUCCUACUAGUCUUCUGCAGAUUAAAACAGCAAUUUUAGGAUGUGUUUGGCUUAUACAUUUGUGAAGUGAUUGUACAAGAGAAAGGUAGAACCGUAGAUGAUAGGAA
RNAcentral lists this long non-coding RNA (278 nucleotides) under Actinidia chinensis (golden kiwifruit). RNAcentral's name for it is "long non-coding RNA (ACHI_LNC000029)". Lineage: Eukaryota; Viridiplantae; Streptophyta; Magnoliopsida; Ericales; Actinidiaceae. The record is from RNAcentral.